Molecule: ribosomal RNA, 329 nt
Filed under: uncultured eukaryote
Lineage: Eukaryota
Description: partial 18S ribosomal RNA
Rfam family: Eukaryotic small subunit ribosomal RNA
Source: RNAcentral
CCCUUAGAUGUUCUGGGCCGCACGCGCGCUACACUGAUGCAUUCAACGAGUUUCUUCCUGGUCCGAGAGGAAUGGGUAACCUUUUGAAAGUGCAUCGUGAUAGGGAUAGACUAUUGCAAUUAUUGGUCUUCAACGAGGAAUUCCUAGUAGACGUAGUUCAUCAGACUGCAUCGAUUACGUCCCUGCCCUUUGUACACACCGCCCGUCGCUCCUACCGAUUGAACGUUCCGAUGAAUACCAUGGAUUGAGAGUCUGGAUGGGUUCGCCUAUUUCUGCUUCUCGAGAAGUGGAGUAAAUCUUAGCGUUUAGAGGAAGGAGAAGUCGUAACA